AACGAACGCUGGCGGCAUGCCUAACACAUGCAAGUCGAACGAGACCUUCGGGUCUAGUGGCGCACGGGUGCGUAACGCGUGGGAACCUGCCCUUAGGUUCGGAAUAACUCCCCGAAAGGGGUGCUAAUACCGGAUAAUGUCUUCGGACCAAAGAUUUAUCGCCUUUGGAUGGGCCCGCGUUGGAUUAGCUAGUUGGUAGGGUAAAAGCCUACCAAGGCGACGAUCCAUAGCUGGUCUGAGAGGAUGAUCAGCCACACUGGGCCUGAGACACGGCCCAGACUCCUACGGGAGGCAGCAGUGGGGAAUAUUGGACAGUGGGCGAAGGCCUGAUCCAGCAAUGCCGCGUGAGUGAUGAAGUCCUUAGGGUUGUAAAGCUCUUUUACCCGGGAUGAUAAUGACAGUACCGGGAGAAUAAGCUCCGGCUAACUCCGUG
RNAcentral lists this ribosomal RNA (433 nucleotides) under uncultured bacterium. RNAcentral's name for it is "partial 16S ribosomal RNA". It matches the Rfam family "Bacterial small subunit ribosomal RNA", at positions 29 to 507 of the family's 1533-position model. The record is from RNAcentral.